RNAcentral lists this ribosomal RNA (620 nucleotides) under uncultured Candidatus Saccharibacteria bacterium. Its description in RNAcentral is "bacterial SSU rRNA". It matches the Rfam family "Bacterial small subunit ribosomal RNA", at positions 427 to 1061 of the family's 1533-position model. Lineage: Bacteria; Candidatus Saccharimonadota. The record is from RNAcentral.
AAACUGCUUUUAUGAGUGAAGAAUAUGACGGUAACUCAUGAAUAAGGGUCGGCUAACUACGUGCCAGCAGCCGCGGUCAUACGUAGGACCCAAGCGUUAUCCGGAGUGACUGGGCGUAAAGAGUUGCGUAGGUGGUUAGUAAAGCGAAUAGUGAAAUCUGGCGGCUCAACCGUACAGGCUAUUAUUCGAACUCACUAACUCGAGAAUGGUAGAGGUAACUGGAAUUUCUAGUGUAGGAGUGAAAUCCGUAGAUAUUAGAAGGAACACCAAUGGCGUAGGCAGGUUACUGGACCAUUUCUGACACUGAGGCACGAAAGCGUGGGGAGCGAACCGGAUUAGAUACCCGGGUAGUCCACGCCGUAAACGAUGGAUACUAGCUGUUGGAGGUAUCGACCCCUUCAGUAGCGAAGCUAACGCGUUAAGUAUCCCGCCUGUGGAGUACGGUCGCAAGACUAAAACAUAAAGGAAUUGACGGGGACCCGCACAAGCGGUGGAUCGUGUUCUUUAAUUCGAUGAUAAACGAAGAACCUUACCAGGGCUUGACAUCCAGGGAAGCACUACGAAAGUAGAGUGUGCCUUUUGGAACCCUGUGACAGGUGAUGCAUGGCCGUCGUCAGCUC